RNAcentral lists this ribosomal RNA (251 nucleotides) under uncultured prokaryote. RNAcentral describes it as "partial 16S ribosomal RNA". It matches the Rfam family "Bacterial small subunit ribosomal RNA", at positions 525 to 775 of the family's 1533-position model. The record is from RNAcentral.
ACGUAGGGUGCAAGCGUUAAUCGGAAUUACUGGGCGUAAAGCGUGCGCAGGCGGUUUUGUAAGACGGAUGUGAAAUCCCCGGGCUCAACCUGGGAACUGCAUUCGUGACUGCAAGGCUAGAGUAUGGCAGAGGGGGGUAGAAUUCCACGUGUAGCAGUGAAAUGCGUAGAGAUGUGGAGGAAUACCGAUGGCGAAGGCAGCCCCCUGGGCCAAUACUGACGCUCAUGCACGAAAGCGUGGGGAGCAAACAG